RNAcentral lists this ribosomal RNA (254 nucleotides) under uncultured bacterium. Its description in RNAcentral is "partial 16S ribosomal RNA". It matches the Rfam family "Bacterial small subunit ribosomal RNA", at positions 524 to 776 of the family's 1533-position model. The record is from RNAcentral.
UACGGGGGGGGCAAGCGUUGUUCGGAAUUACUGGGCGUAAAGGGUUCGUAGGUGGCCAACUAAGUCAGGCGUGAAAUCCCUCAGCUCAACUGGGGAACUGCGUCUGAUACUGGUUGGCUUGAGUGCAGGAGAGGAACGCGGAAUUCCAGGUGUAGCGGUGAAAUGCGUAGAUAUCUGGAGGAACACCGGUGGCGAAGGCGGCAUCCUGGACCAACACUGACGCUGAGUGAGCGAAAGCCAGGGGAGCAAACGGG